RNAcentral lists this ribosomal RNA (279 nucleotides) under uncultured bacterium. Its description in RNAcentral is "partial 16S ribosomal RNA". It matches the Rfam family "Bacterial small subunit ribosomal RNA", at positions 506 to 784 of the family's 1533-position model. The record is from RNAcentral.
UGCCAGCCGCCGCGGUAAUACGGAGGGUGCAAGCGUUAAUCGGAAUAACUGGGCGUAAAGGGCACGCAGGCGGAUGAAUAAGUGAGAUGUGAAGUCUCCGAGCUUAACUUGGGAACUGCAUUUCAUACUGUUUAUCUAGAGUCUUUUAGAGAGGGGUAGAAUUUCAUGUGUAGCGGUGGAAUGCGUAGAGAUAUGAAGGAAUACCAAAGGCGAAGGCAGCCCCUUGGGAAAUGACUGACGCUCAUGUGCGAAAGCGUGGGGAGCAAACAGGAUUAGAUA